CUGACGAGCGGCGGACGGGUGAGUAAUACUUAGGAAUCUACCUAGUAGUGGGGGAUAGCUCGGGGAAACUCGAAUUAAUACCGCAUACGACCUACGGGAGAAAGGGGGCAACUUGUUGCUCUCGCUAUUAGAUGAGCCUAAGUCGGAUUAGCUAGAUGGUGGGGUAAAGGCCUACCAUGGCGACGAUCUGUAGCUGGUCUGAGAGGAUGAUCAGCCACACCGGGACUGAGACACGGCCCGGACUCCUACGGGAGGCAGCAGUGGGGAAUAUUGGACAAUGGGGGCAACCCUGAUCCAGCCAUGCCGCGUGUGUGAAGAAGGCCUUUUGGUUGUAAAGCACUUUAAGCAGUGAAGAAGACUCCAUGGUUAAUACCCAUGGACGAUGACAUUAGCUGCAGAAUAAGCACCGGCUAACUCUGUGCCAGCAGCCGCGGUAAUACAGAGGGUGCAAGCGUUAAUCGGAAUUACUGGGCGUAAAGCGAGCGUAGGUGGCUUGAUAAGUCAGAUGUGAAAGCCCCGGGCUUAACCUGGGAACGGCAUCUGAUACUGUUA
Molecule: ribosomal RNA, 552 nt
Filed under: Psychrobacter faecalis
Lineage: Bacteria; Pseudomonadati; Pseudomonadota; Gammaproteobacteria; Moraxellales; Moraxellaceae
Description: bacterial SSU rRNA
Rfam family: Bacterial small subunit ribosomal RNA
Source: RNAcentral